Long non-coding RNA from Capsella rubella, 1903 nucleotides. RefSeq lists it as uncharacterized. NCBI's taxonomy places the organism in Eukaryota, Viridiplantae, Streptophyta, Magnoliopsida, Brassicales, Brassicaceae. The record is from RefSeq and is a predicted model, not a curated record. The transcript has 8 exons.
UUCCCCAAUCUCCUCCGCUCCUCAAGCCAUCUCCGAUCAAAUCCGCUCCUCGGCUUACUCGGAGAUUUACUCGGCCGAUGAAACUAUCUAGUAGCAGGUCUUCUGAUUCUUCGUGUCUGUAGUUCUCGGCUUCUCUCACUCCUAUCAGAUCCAUAGAGAUUCUUCGCCGCCGCAUCUUACGAAAAUCUUUAUGGAUCUGUAUCGUCGACGAAAUCCUCUACCAUCAGGAAGCUAGCCUUUUCACGACAUAUGUUUUUGUUUCCAUAGGUCCUGGUUAGGAUUUUUGGGUCUUACCAAAAAGGGCUACUAUUGGACCAUGCAAUACACUGAAACGGAUGAUGCAGAGUACAUGGAAAAGGGUGAUAUAGAUUGAUCUGGAUUUUUUUAUCAGAUUGGUUGAUCGUGAACCACAUAGUGGAAGUAUCAGAAGUCUGAAGUAUAUUGAUCUCUUGGAGCAAUAAAAAUUACAAGCAAUUCUUCCUCAGGUUGGUUGACUGAUCAUAAUGAUUGUUAGUUGUUGACUUGUUGUAUAUAUCUAUGAGAAGAAGUUAAUUGGUUUGUUUGUGAAAUAUGAAGAUCAACUGAUUAUAUUGCUGACUUUUGUUAUUGCAAGACUACUAGGCGAUGUGACCUUAAUGAGGUGUUGAAUUUUAAUGGCUUGCAGUGAUGGGUCUUGAUUCAAGACUCUUGAAGCUUACAAAAAGUACAAUCAAUAAGUUUCAGAUCAGGUAUAAGAACAUGUUUGGAAGCUGGUUGUUGUCAUUUGUGUUCCUUUUUUUCAUCAACAUGUUAGAGUUUUAUUGAGAAACUUGGUCAAUUUUGAACUGAAACUUGCUUGUAGAAACAUCAGGGACAUAUGGUCGAACUAUAUGACUCCUUAACAUAAGGUAUAAGAUUAAAAAGAGAUAUCAUCCCUCUGUUCUUGUUUAAUUUACUUUCUCAGGUCUUUGAUGGAAGACAUGAUAGAAGCAUUUCCUAGCAAAACUGAGAUAUCAUCCCUUUGUUCUUGUUUCAUUUACUUUCUCAGGUCUUUGGAGAAAGACAUAAUAUGGUUUGGAUUAAGGGGUUUUCUUGAAAUUUGUGAGUUUUGGGUUUAAUAAACUGGAAUCAGAGUGUUUUUCUUGUUUUGCAUGUUUUUGAGAUAGUGGUAUUUUACUGCUUGGUUGUUUGUUCUGUUCUGAUUUGAUGUGUUUUGGUGUUUGAUCAUGAGAUAUUUGUUCCAUCCAGCACCACUACAUCCUCAUAUUUACAGCAAUGGACAUAUUUGUUUAGUUUUUGCAUCUACGAUUUUAGAUCAUGAAUGACUGCAGUGUUUAAAGCAAUCUUUGGGGUUUGACUUUGCAAAAAUUAGUAAUCAGAAAAAGUUCAGACAUCCUCUAGAGAAGAAUUACAAGAAAGCAAGGCUGAUUUAGCUAGCAUAUCAGCAUGUGUGUUAUCAGUUCUCGGAAUGAAAUGAAAAGACAACAAAGAAUCGAUAGCAUCAUAGAUAUCUUCCACAAUACCGUCAAUCUCAUUUGCAUGGCCUCUGGAGUUGAGCAGUUGAACGAGAACUUGACAAUCCGAGAAACAAGCCAAUCUUGAUACACCCAUUGCUAUAGCUGCUUGGAUUACAGUCUUUAAAGCUAGUGCUUCCGCCACAAAGGGUCUUAAGAGGUGCCUUGGAGACACACAUUAGAGAGGGGAUCACGGAUGAUCUACCCAAUUCCGCAGCUCUAGGAUAUAUACAAAGGGUCUUGAGGAGGUGUUUUGGAGACACACUAUAUUUUAAGAGAUUUUAUAUAUCUCUCCAUAUCAUCCAAAAACAAGAUUUUGUGUAUCUUUAUGAAAUUUACUGUGACACUUUUCAGCUUUUUGGUUUAUGUCCAAGGAUUUUUUAGCUUUUUAAAUAUGCUACUCCCAUUUC